GAUGAUGAUGAUGAUGAUGAUUGGAGGCAGAACUUGAAGAACUAGAGGGGGCUGAAUUAGAGGAACAGCUCCUUCAGCCUGCUACAACCGCUCCUGUUGCGCCAAUUAAUCUUCCUGCUGGCAGGCAACAAGUGCGUCCUGCCGCUCAGAAGACAGAAGAAGAUGAGCUUGCUGCUUUGCAGGCUGAAAUGGCUCUUUAAACAGUUCUUGUUGCCUCCCACGAGACAGCGUAAAGGCUUGAUGUAUUCUUAUGGUGGAUGGAUAUACCUUUGGGGCUUUGAAUUCUUAAAGAUGCAUGCAGGAUCAGAAGUUACUGUAUAAAUGACAGCAGAUGAUGAGUUUACAUUCUGUGUGAAGUUGAAAGUGGGAAAAUUGUAUGCUAAUUUCGUGUGAAUUAUUAUGAAAAAAGAUGUUCUAAGAUAUACUUUUAAAUGAAUUUUCAAGACUUCUGUUGUUUACAUUAUUAUGAUCAGAAAAAACCUUCUAUAUAU
This 491-nucleotide unclassified non-coding RNA is filed under the name Hevea brasiliensis (rubber tree). Lineage: Eukaryota; Viridiplantae; Streptophyta; Magnoliopsida; Malpighiales; Euphorbiaceae. The record is from RNAcentral.